This is a long non-coding RNA of Cuculus canorus (common cuckoo), 2730 nucleotides long. RefSeq lists it as uncharacterized. Lineage: Eukaryota; Metazoa; Chordata; Aves; Cuculiformes; Cuculidae. The record is from RefSeq and is a predicted model, not a curated record. The transcript is spliced from 3 exons.
CAGCAUUAAACUCUCCCGAUCACCUUCCCAAUUCUUUUUUUCCUAUUAAAUUCUCAAGCAUUCUUAUCUUGCUUCCAUUUGGGAGUCAUUCAUGCCUGAAAUUUAUUUAAUAACAGCUACAUUUACCUUUAGCUAUUAAUGACUCUCGUUUUCCAUCAAAUGAUUGCCCAUUGGGAAUAAUUACUGCUGCGUUCGUUAAGUGACACCUAUGAUUUAAUUUAGUCGUGACUCAUUGCUAAACAAUAUUUCUUUUAUUUGUUUGCACUUUAUUGUUUGAGCCUUCACUUUACCGCUCAGUGAGGUCAAAGAGUGCUUAUGAUUAAUUUUUCCUUUUAAUACUCACCAGAGUUCUUUCUCUAUGGAUAUUUUAACCCAAUUAGUGCUCUCUUAAUUUAUAUUUUGCAGCUUAUAAUUUUAUAAUAUAAACUAGGAGUAAUUUGUCAAGUUUUGUGGAGUAGCAGGGGUCCAGGUAUUAUUUACUCACAAUGUUUGUUCCAGUUACUGUUAAGUAAGUUUUUAUUCUGGAUGUUUUACAGUAAAUAAAAAGCAAUAAAAAUCAAAAUAAUGGAAGCCAAGGAUGUUGGAAAUCCCAGGAAGAACAGUAGGAGCACCGUGGUGUGACCAGAGGAUUUCACACUUCAGCUCUGCCAAGCCCUGUUUUCUGGGGACACCCACGUUCCCAGGGGAGAAAACGUGCGUGCAGCAGCUACAACGAAGCAUCAACCUGUGCGAGACACGCAGCCACGCUUUGAGCACAUCGGAGCAGAGAUGCAGGAGAUCCACUCAUUUUCAAGACACUGACCAUGCCCACCUCACCAAUGCAAUUUCAGUAUCUCAGUUUCCAGGAGGGAAGAUGGUCUCAGAAGAGCUCAGCACGUGAUGUCCUCAGCGCCUGCAGGUGACUGGCACAAGGGGUUUCAUCCUGACCUUACAUCUGCAGUGUGGCUGAGGAGAAGUCUCGUGUCUCCUCCAGCUUUGAGCCCCUGACAAAUCGUUCCUGGAAGUGGUGAAACAAAUUGUACAACAUAUAUAGACAUUUAGAGGCCAUUAACCCUGCGACAUUAUGAGUUGGGUACAAAGUCCAUGUAUUCCUACAUUUUCACACAUCUAGGUUAGAAGCCAUCUUCUGUGAUCAAUAUAAAGAAAAAUCAUUAUCAUACAGUCACAGAAUAGUUUGGGUUGGAAGGGUCCUCAAAGCCCAUCCAGUUCCACCCCCUGCCAUGGGCAGGGACACCUCCCACUGGAUCAGGGGCUCCAAACCCCAUCCAACCUGGCCUUGAACCCCUCCAGGGAUGGGGCAGCACCACUGCUCUGGGCAACCUGUUCCAGGGCCUCCCCACCCUCACAGCAAAACAUUUCUCCCUAAGAUCUCAUCUCAAUCUCCCCUCUUGCAGCUGAAAACCAUCUUCCCUCAUUCUAUCCCUGCACUCCCUGAUCCAGAGCCCCUCCCCAGCUUCCCUGGAGCCCCUUUCAGCACUGGAAGCUGCUCUAAGGUCUCCCCAGAGCCUUCUCCAGGCUGAACCAUUUCUGUCUCUCUCUUAAUUCAUUAAAUUUUCAGUUUUCAAAGCAGCCCCGUCUCUCCUGUGCUCCAUCCGUUACAUUUUACAGAUUUCAGAACUUGGUUUCAAUACUUGGCACUACUCAAUUCAAGUCUGAGGUUGGAAAUAUCGAAUGCAUUAAGAAUACACCUACGUGGAGAUGGAUAUGUCUCUUUCAUUGGAAAUUCUGUAAUUUCAAACUGCAUUUUCGUUCCAGUUUGGAGCAAAAUGGCACAUGGAGAAAUUCAGCACUAGCUGAGAUGUUUUAACAGUUCUUUUAAGUUACUUGAAGCACUCUGUUGCCAUUUUGACAGUCUUCUUUCAUAUUCCUGUUGUAAUUUAUUGCAUCUAGUCAUAAUUUUCUUCGCAAAAAAUAUUUUGGAGAGAAAAAUGGAAAUGUGAAGUUUUUGUCACUUUAAAAUGGAACACUUCAGCCUGAUAUAUAUUUAUAAUUAGCAGGGCUGGAUCCAUGGUUGGACUCGAUCUUAAAGGUCUUUUCCAACUGAAACCAUUCUGUGAUUUGCAUGUUUGACUUUGCAUUCGGAAUACAAUGAGUAAAAUCCAACACGAUUCUGAUGAAAGCUUAGAUUUCAAUAAAACAGCAUUUUCUAAGAGGAAAAUGUAUGACAAUGGACAAUGUAUGACAAUGUAUGACAGCACGAUUCUGGACUGACUUGUUCUACUCCGUUUUGACUUGGUGACUCCUGCAAUCCUUUGCCUUAGCUUUGAUGUCACUUCAGUGAAGGUACAAGGUGGACAACUGCUCCUUGGAGGUGAUGUUCACCUCAAACCUUGUGUAUGCUUAGUCAUCGCCAGUGAUGGGCACAGGGUUUUGACCACCUCAGAGAAGCUCUGAGCUGGAUAAACCUGGGAAAUGAAACACCUCUUGCGCGUGGCUGGAUGGUUUGAGGUGCCCUGGGGAGCAGGGUAGAGGAUUUCAAUCUCCUGACCUUAAGGCUGGCUUGCACUUAUAUGAAUCCUUGCUAGAAGGAAAACUAAAAAGACCACUUUAAUAGAAUCAUUAAGAUUAAAAAAGACUUCUAAGCCCAUCCAGUCCAGCAAUACCAUUCCUACUAAACCAUGUCCUGAAGUGCCACAUACACACAUUUUUGAACACAUCCAGGGAAGGAGACUCCACCACUGCCCUGGGCAGCCUGUUGUUGAUAUUAUUGUUAAUAAUAAUAAUAAUAAU